Sitodiplosis mosellana (orange wheat blossom midge) is the source of this 899-nucleotide long non-coding RNA. RefSeq lists it as uncharacterized. The transcript has 3 exons. Lineage: Eukaryota; Metazoa; Arthropoda; Insecta; Diptera; Cecidomyiidae. The record is from RefSeq and is a predicted model, not a curated record.
GAAACACACACGAAUCGAAGACACAGAUUUUUCCAUAAUCGCAAUCUUCAUUAGUCUUACAGGCACGCUGUUCUGACUCUAGAAGCACUUCCUCUGCAAAUAAAAGAGAGUUUAAGACACAAGAUGAAGAUUGUUUUUGUGGUGAUCGCUGUUCUCUUCAUAAUUGCUGGGGCACAAAUGGAUUCCGACAAUGAAAUGACAUUUGACGACUCUGAUGAAAGUUCGUUUGAAAGUCAAUUUGAUUAUUCCGAUGGAGACUCUUCAGUAGACGAAUUUUACGAUGGCGGAUAAGGCAAGAAUGUUAAUUAAACGUAGCGCAGAUGUAAAUAGGAGACCAGACAAGGAUCUUGGGACACACCUGAGUAGCAAAAAUCUCAGGCUUGCAACCAAAAUUUGUUAUAAAUCGGUUUCAAUUCAGUUAUUCGCAACAAAAUAUGUUAUAGAACAGUUGCAAUGUGUCUUUUUAGGUAACAAGAAAUCCGCUUUGUUAUAUAUAAGUUAUAGAAAAGUUAUUUUUAAGUUGCAGAAAAGGAGAAAUAUUUUAACAAAUUUACCAACUAGUUGCCAGAUAACUCAUAAUCUCAAAACUUUAUUGUAACGUUGCUGCAACUACGAUUUGGUUACAUACGUAACCAUGAUACGUCAGUGCAUUUCACCUUGUCAAACAUUCAUACAUUUGGUCCAAGAAUGCCAUUCCUGUUGAAGAAUUUGCCAAGCUAAUGAGUUUCGAAAACGUCGAGAACGUUAAACGUGGUAGAUUUCAUCCAAUCCAAAACGAAUCAUUACAAUAAAAACAGAGAAAUCACAAAAAAAUCAACUUGUGUUGAAACUACUUCAUUACUAUCUUUCUUUUUACAAUAACGUAAUUCAAGUUAUAAUUAAGUUACAUUCAUGUUAUA